AUUGUAUCUGACUUUGUAAAACUUGGCAAACCUCCAACUCAGAAAAAUGUUUCUGCUUUUUCUGUUAAAAGCAGAAAUACUCUUACACUUUUCCUGAUAGCUGAGAAAAUUAAUCUAAUUUCCAUCCCAAGAAAAAUUAAAUAGCCUGGCCUAAAAUAAUUAAGUUAGUAUAUCAGUGUUAUAUUUUAUAGUAAAAAAAGAAGGACCUGAGAAGGUUUGUCUGUAACACUCACCUUUUCCAUUUCAGCCUUCACACUGACAAGUUUACUUGAAAAUCAAUAUUUUACAUUGAAAAAACCCAGUUCUGUGUCAGUAAUACUCUCAAGCAAUAUAGAUCUUAAAGAAACAUGCCGAGAUGUGGCAGGAGGUUAGUAGAGAAAUCCUUCUCAGUGUGCAGUCUGCAAAUGGACUCCACCCAAAAUCUCCUGAAGUCAAUAGAUAAAUGUUCAUGCUCUUCAUUUGAUAUUGGAUCAAGUCUUAUUUUCAUCUCUGACCAAGAUUACUUUCACAAUUCUGGCCAGUUUCUGGAUUGUCAGUUUCUAAGGGCAGAAAACAAAUAUCCCAUUUGGACAGACACGUCCACAGCUCUCUCCUGUUCACUGAAUUUGCUGGAAUCACAAGUACCUGCACAGCACCCAGGUAGGUGAGUGGAGUCUCCUGG
This 661-nucleotide long non-coding RNA is filed under the name Cyanistes caeruleus (blue tit). RNAcentral describes it as "lncRNA (ENSCCEG00000020019.1)". The record is from RNAcentral. Lineage: Eukaryota; Metazoa; Chordata; Aves; Passeriformes; Paridae.